GUCGCCGGAUAAAAGACGCUUCGGUGUCACUGGUGGAUGGACCCGCGCUGCAUUAGUUAGUUGGUGGGGUAACGGCCUACCAAGACCGUGAUGCAUAGCCGACCUGAGAGGGUGAUCGGCCACACUGGGACUGAGACACGGCCCAGACUCCUACGGGAGGCAGCAGUAGGGAAUCUUCGGCAAUGGACGGAAGUCGGACC
This 200-nucleotide ribosomal RNA is filed under the name uncultured Vagococcus sp. Its description in RNAcentral is "partial 16S ribosomal RNA". It matches the Rfam family "Bacterial small subunit ribosomal RNA", at positions 192 to 388 of the family's 1533-position model. The record is from RNAcentral. Lineage: Bacteria; Bacillati; Bacillota; Bacilli; Lactobacillales; Enterococcaceae.